UACGAAGGGGGCUAGCGUUGUUCGGAAUUACUGGGCGUAAAGCGCACGUAGGCGGGUUGUUAAGUCAGGGGUGAAAUCCUGGAGCUCAACUCCAGAACUGCCUUUGAUACUGAGGAUCUUGAGUCCGGGAGAGGUGAGUGGAACUGCGAGUGUAGAGGUGAAAUUCGUAGAUAUUCGCAAGAACACCAGUGGCGAAGGCGGCUCACUGGCCCGGUACUGACGCUGAGGCACGAAAGCGUGGGGAGCAAACAGG
This 253-nucleotide ribosomal RNA is filed under the name uncultured bacterium. Its description in RNAcentral is "partial 16S ribosomal RNA". It matches the Rfam family "Bacterial small subunit ribosomal RNA", at positions 524 to 776 of the family's 1533-position model. The record is from RNAcentral.